Molecule: long non-coding RNA, 1519 nt
Filed under: Marmota monax (woodchuck)
Lineage: Eukaryota; Metazoa; Chordata; Mammalia; Rodentia; Sciuridae
Source: RNAcentral
GCUGGCAGGACCUAGGCUGUGGCUCCGGCGAGUGCCCGCCUGCCGGGGUGUCUGUGACGGUGAGGGUGAGGUGGCGUGGUCUUGGAGCAGCUGGACCAGGCAGGACAGGUGCUCUGUGGCCCUCAGCAGCACCGUCCAGCAGUGUCUGUGCUCUGGCUUUCCUGGAAUCCAGCCAUCAGUUGGUGUGACAAGGACAGGCGCACCACGCUGCCUCUGCCCGGGGGCGUUGGGCUUGCCUGGGUCGCCCUCUGCUCCCUGUCACCCGUGGCUACCACCGCCACCAUUUCCAACAUGGAGAUGUGGACAGACUUCUCCUGUGGACACGCAGCCUUUGCACCCUGGUGCACCCCCCAGCCAGCUCCCGGGUUUGAUGCCACCUGGCUCUGCCAGGGCAAGAGAAGGUGAGCAGAGAGCCGGGAGCCAUGUGCAAGUCGCAGCCCUGGCCCAGGUGCAGCCCCUCCCAGGAGCACGGCCAACUCGGCCAGGCGAGGGGCUGGGCUGAUUCAGAGCUUGGACCGAGUCCACUCUUGGCAAACCACUCAGUCUGCCUGCGAGUCACGAGAAGCGGGUGAUCUCUGUGGGGAAGCAUGUCAGGCUGCAGGGGCCGAGGCCAUCUGGUGAGCCCAGGUCCACCCACACUGAGAAACUGAGGCCUUGGGAAGACAGUGGGCAGCAGGAGCCAAGGAGGGGCCUGCUGCAGAACCCUCAUGGCCCGGCUCCUGCCCAGGCCGAGGAGAAGCAGGCAAGGCGGCCAGCUCGGCUCCUCAUGGGUGAACCCUGCUGCCCACACCCAGAGCCCUGGAAACGGGGCCACAUGGACUGGGGCACAGGUCUGGAGGGAGGGGCCACUGCUUGGGAGCCCCUGCACCCAGGACAGGAGUCCUGGGCCCUGGCUGCAAGCCAUCAGGGUCUAAACCCUGCCGGCCCCCCAACUGCCCCGGGUAGCCCCCAGCGCCUCUCUCCUGUCCUCUGCGCAGGAGCCUGGUAGGUGAACCCCUCUUGUCCCCAGGCCUCCCCAGUGGAAUUCAGAGUGGGCUCCCUCCCCUAGGACAGGCCCGCAGACACAGAUGUCAGGUCAGGUAGGACAACAGGAGCCCCAGCUCUCUGUGGCCCCACCCUGGCCCGGCACCCUGUGGGCCCAGGCCUGGAAGAGGUCGUAAAGCUUGGUCCCCUGCACCACCUCCUGCUGGCUGUUGGCAGGAGCUGAUGGGGGGCGGGAGUGGUCCUGGGGCUCCUGCAGCCCUGGAUGUGGCUGCUUCAUGGAGCCUGUGACCUCCAGCCUGUGUGACCGCCAUCCCUAUGUAACCUGGGACCCUGCCGCUCGCUCUCCAUCAGGAAGGUGGACCCGGAGCAGCUACUCACCUCCUUCCUGGCUCCUGCUCCUUCAGGAACACGUCCACAUGUCCCAAGCCUAGCAGGGCCUCACAUUGGGGAUCUGGUCACCGGCCUAGUGAGCGCACAGCAGAUAACCUGUCGGGCCUUUGAGCCACCUCGGGGACACCAAGAGAGACCAUUGUGU